GCUCCUAUAGCUCAGUUGGUUAGAGUAGAAGACUCAUAAUCUUUUGGUCACUGGUUCGAGCCCAGUUGGGAGCACC
Molecule: transfer RNA, 76 nt
Filed under: Sphingobacterium faecium NBRC 15299
Lineage: Bacteria; Pseudomonadati; Bacteroidota; Sphingobacteriia; Sphingobacteriales; Sphingobacteriaceae
Also listed under: 1 other name
Description: tRNA-Met
Rfam family: tRNA
About the family: Transfer RNA (tRNA) molecules are approximately 80 nucleotides in length. Their secondary structure includes four short double-helical elements and three loops (D, anti-codon, and T loops).
Source: RNAcentral